Molecule: long non-coding RNA, 176 nt
Filed under: Dasypus novemcinctus (nine-banded armadillo)
Lineage: Eukaryota; Metazoa; Chordata; Mammalia; Cingulata; Dasypodidae
Description: lncRNA (ENSDNOG00000051988.1)
Source: RNAcentral
CGCCCUCUGGCCCCUGGUGAGGGGAGAUCGAGAACUACUCGGCCCAGAGAGCCAAGCGCGGGGCGGGCUCGCCUCUUAGGAGUGCCCCGCUAACAGUCUGGACCAAGCGAGAGCCAGCAUCCAGAGCCAGGGAGUGCUCGGUGCCCCCUCCCCAUGCUACCUCCACGAUGCCCCCG